GAGGGUGUAGCUCAGUGGUAGAGCACAUGCUUAGCAUGCACAAGGUCCUGGGUUCAAUCCCCAGUUCCUGCU
This 72-nucleotide transfer RNA is filed under the name Camelus bactrianus (Bactrian camel). It matches the Rfam family "tRNA". From Rfam's summary of the family: Transfer RNA (tRNA) molecules are approximately 80 nucleotides in length. Their secondary structure includes four short double-helical elements and three loops (D, anti-codon, and T loops). RNAcentral also lists the same sequence under 2 other names. Lineage: Eukaryota; Metazoa; Chordata; Mammalia; Artiodactyla; Camelidae. The record is from Rfam by way of RNAcentral.